Molecule: ribosomal RNA, 357 nt
Filed under: uncultured bacterium
Lineage: Bacteria
Description: bacterial SSU rRNA
Rfam family: Bacterial small subunit ribosomal RNA
Source: RNAcentral
AACGAACGCUGGCGGCAGGCCUAAAACAUGCAAGUUGAACGCUGUAGCAAUACAGAGUGGCGCACGAGUGAGUAACACGUGGGAAUAUGCCUUUUGGUACGGAACAACGUUUGGAAACGAACGCUAAUACCGUAUGGUCCCUCCGGGGUAAAGAUUUAUCGCCAAAAGAGUAGCCCGCGUCUGAUUAGCUAGUUGGUGAGGUAACGGCUCUACCAAGGCGACGAUCAGUAGCUGGUCUGAGAGGACGAUCAGCCACGCUGGGACUGAGACACGGCCCAGACUCCUACGGGAGGCAGCAGUGGGGAAUAUUGCGCAAUGGGCGAAAGCCUGACGCAGCGACGCCGCGUGGGUGAUGAA